This 2268-nucleotide ribosomal RNA is filed under the name human gut metagenome. Its description in RNAcentral is "bacterial LSU rRNA". It matches the Rfam family "Bacterial large subunit ribosomal RNA", at positions 14 to 2317 of the family's 2925-position model. The record is from RNAcentral.
AGGGCGCAGGGUGGAUGCCUUGGCACUAAGAGCCGAUGAAAGACGUGAUAAGCUGCGAAAAGCUUCGGGGAGGAGCAAAUAUCCAAAGAUCCGGAGAUUUCUGAAUGGGGAAACCCACAUGAGAAUACCUCAUGUAUCCAUACGCCAAUCCAUAACGUAUGGAAGGGAACCCGGUGAACUGAAACAUCUAAGUAGCCGGAGGAAGAGAAAGAAACAUCGAUUUCCAGAGUAGCGGCGAGCGAAAUGGAAAGAGGCCAAACCGUUGUGCGUGCACAGCGGGGUUCGGACCGCAUAAUUGAUUCAGUGAUUCUAGCAGAAAGGUUUUGGGAAAGCCUGCCGGAGAGGGUGAAAGCCCCGUAAGCGAAAGGAGAGUUGACAUGGCGGUAUCCAGAGUACAUCGAGACACGAGAAACCUUGAUGGAACAAGCGGGGACCACCCCGUAAGCCUAAAUACUACUUAGUGACCGAUAGCGCAUAGUACUGUGAAGGAAAGGUGAAAAGGACCCCGGGAGGGGAGUGAAAGAGAACCUGAAACCCUGUGUCUACAAGCUGUGGGACCUCUUUAUAUGAGGGACUGCGUACUUUUUGUAGAACGGUCCGGCGAGUUGUGCGUACUGGCGAGGUUAAGGACUUAAGGUCUGGAGCCGAAGUGAAAGCAAGCGUUAAUAGCGCGUCAAGUCAGUGAGUGCAGACCCGAAACCGGGUGACCUAUCCAUGUCCAGGUUGAAGCUUCCGUAAGAGGAAGUGGAGGACCGAACCCACAUCCGUUGAAAAGGGUGGGGAUGAGGUGUGGAUAGCGGAGAAAUUCCAAUCGAACCCGGAGAUAGCUGGUUCUCCUCGAAAUAGCUUUAGGGCUAGCCUCAUGAGAGUCUUAUGGAGGUAGAGCACUGAAUUGCCUAGGGGGCGUCAAAGCUUACCAAAGCAUAUCAAACUCCGAAUGCCAUCAAGAUGAUUCAUGGGAGUCAGACCAUACGAGAUAAGUUGGAUGGUCAAAAGGGAAAGAGCCCAGACCUACAGCUAAGGUCCCAAAGUGCGUGUUAAGUGGAAAAGGAUGUGGGGAUUCUAAGACAACUAGGACGUUGGCUUAGAAGCAGCCAUUCAUUGAAAGAGUGCGUAAUAGCUCACUAGUCGAGAGUCCCUGCGCCGAAAAUGUCCGGGGCUGAAACACGACACCGAAGCUUAGGAAUGUGUAAACAUUGGUAGAGGAGCAUUGCUAGCGGGAUGAAGCCAUACCGUAAGGAGUGGUGGACUGCUAGGAAGAGAGAAUGCCGGAAUGAGUAGCGAGAUGAAGGUGAGAAUCCUUCAGGCCGAAUAUCUAAGGUUUCCAGAGUAAAGCUGAUCUGCUCUGGGUAAGUCGGGACCUAAGGCGAGGUCGAAAGACGUAGUCGAUGGAUAACAGGUUGAAAUUCCUGUACCGCAUAUAAACAGAACUGUGGGGACACAGACAGGGAAUGGAAUCCGGGAAUGGAAAUCCCGGUGCAAGCGAGGUAGGAGUGCUGUUGGCAAAUCCGCAGCACGAUCUGAAGACGUGACGCGUACCGAACAUAAGUAGGGAAGUCCAGGCCCCUGGCUGUCAAGAAAAGCCGCUAUUGUUUUAUAUGUGCCCGUACCGCAAACCGACACAGGUGGAUGAGGAGAGAAUCCUAAGGCCGACGGGAGAAGUAUUGUUAAGGAACUCGGCAAAAUGACUCCGUAACUUCGGGAGAAGGAGUGCCAUGUAAAAGUGGCCGCAGAGAAUUGGCCCAAGCAACUGUUUAGCAAAAACACAGGUCUAUGCAAAACCGAAAGGUGAAGUAUAUGGGCUGACGCCUGCCCGGUGCUGGAAGGUUAAGGGGAGAGGUUAGCGCAAGCGAAGCUUUGAACUUAAGCCCCAGUAAACGGCGGCCGUAACUAUAACGGUCCUAAGGUAGCGAAAUUCCUUGUCGGGUAAGUUCCGACCCGCACGAAAGGCGUAAUGAUUUGAGCGCUGUCUCGACAAUGCAUCCGGUGAAAUUGAAGUACCAGUGAAGAUGCUGGUUACCUGCGCCAGGACGGAAAGACCCCAUGGAGCUUUACUCCAGUUUGAUACUGGGAUUCGGUACUGCAUGUACAGGAUAGGUGGGAGACGAAGAAGGAUGGACGCCAGUCUGUCCGGAGUCGCUGUUGGGAUACCACCCCUGUAGUACUGGGUUUCUAACCAGUUGCCAUGAACUGGCAAUGGGACAAUGUCAGGCGGGGAGUUUGACUGGGGCGGUCGCCUCCGAAAGGGUAUCGGAGGCGCUCAAAGGU